This is a small nuclear RNA of Sarcophilus harrisii (Tasmanian devil), 102 nucleotides long. The record is from Ensembl. NCBI's taxonomy places the organism in Eukaryota, Metazoa, Chordata, Mammalia, Dasyuromorphia, Dasyuridae.
AUCCAUGCUUGCACCUAUACUAAAACUGGAAAGAUACAGAGAAGAUUACCAUGGCCCCUGCGCAAGAAGGACAUGCAAAUUCAUGAAGUGUCCCAUAUUUUU